AACGAACGCUGGCGGCAGGCUUAACACAUGCAAGUCGAACGCCCCGCAAGGGGAGUGGCAGACGGGUGAGUACCGCGUGGGAACAUACCCUUUUCUACGGAAUAGCUCUGGGAAACUGGAAUUAAUACCGUAUACGCCCUACGGGGGAAAGAUUUAUCGGGGAAGGAUUGGCCCGCGUUGGAUUAGCUAGUUGGUGGGGUAAAGGCCUACCAAGGCGACGAUCCAUAGCUGGUCUGAGAGGAUGAUCAGCCACAUUGGGACUGAGACACGGCCCAAACUCCUACGGGAGGCAGCAGUGGGGAAUAUUGGACAAUGGGCGGAAGCAUGAUCCAGCCAUGCCGCGUGAGUGAUGAAGGCCUUAGGGUUGUAAAGCUCUUUCACCGAUGAAGAUAAUGACGGUAGUCGGAGAAGAAGCCCCGGCUAACUUCGUG
Molecule: ribosomal RNA, 431 nt
Filed under: uncultured bacterium
Lineage: Bacteria
Description: partial 16S ribosomal RNA
Rfam family: Bacterial small subunit ribosomal RNA
Source: RNAcentral